RNAcentral lists this ribosomal RNA (32 nucleotides) under Geheebia siccula. RNAcentral's name for it is "Didymodon tophaceus subsp. sicculus partial 26S ribosomal RNA". The record is from RNAcentral. Lineage: Eukaryota; Viridiplantae; Streptophyta; Bryopsida; Pottiales; Pottiaceae.
UCCUACCGACAGUCCGGCCUAAAAAGCCGGGU